UUUGCCGGAGCAAUGCCUGCUCCAAGGUUAGCGGGCUGGCGGGCUGGCUGGCUGGCUCUGGUUCUUUUCUUUCCGACCUGGGCUGCCCAGCUGCAGGGCGCACAAGCCACUUCAGGGGACAGAGCUGGGAGCCACAGCAUCCCUGUCCUGGGGAUACGCUGAGAAGCUCCUUCGCCCAAAGGUCUAGACCUAUAUUGGCGUCCAGAGUGGAAGAAGACACAUUUUAUUAGACAAAGCAAAUGAGGAAUUACGAAACCGGGACCAGCCGUACAUGGCCGAAGGGAACCGAGUGCACCGGCAUCAUGGGAAAGGCGGACGCGGUGACGGAGGCGGAAUUCACAGUAAGAAGCAUCCAGGCUGGCCUGGAAACAAAAGCAGCCUGCAGAGACGUCAGGGGCUCAGUGCAGAGAGGAACCUGCAGCCACAGAGGUGGCUUUGAGGGUCCUGAUGAUGAACAUGGUGUGCACACAUUUGGGACACAGCAGCCACGUGGAGACGUGAGGACAAAGGCUUUUCUGUCCUUUGCCACCCGUGAGGCAGUGCUUUUCUGAGCAGCUCUGAUUAUAAAUCCCUGUCCUGCUAUGAUGGGUAAACUUGGCAGCAUUCGAGAUCUGCCUUGUGUCUUCACUGUUUCUCAGUUGGUUUGGGUUUGGCAAAACCCCAAAUGCAUUCUGCCAAGUACUCUUUCCCUUAAUUUCAAAUCCCCUGAGUGGCUUAAGGGAAAUUUCAUCCAUAUGUUUCUGAGUCAUUUGCUGUGAACUCAUCUUUUGGUAAAAGAAAUAUGUUCUCAAGCCAGCACAGUUCAGAGAAUAGCAAAAGUUUUAGGCUGAAAUGGGUCAUGCUUUCUUUGGGAAGAACCUCCUAAAUUGUCUCAGUAUAAGAAGGACGGAAGAGAGGAAUAUUUCCUGUUCUCAUAUUCCCUCCUCUUUCUGUAUGAAUUCCUUUAAAAUUUUUUUAAAAUGUUUUAUUCAUUUUUUUGAG
Long non-coding RNA from Felis catus (domestic cat), 981 nucleotides. RefSeq lists it as uncharacterized. The transcript is spliced from 3 exons. NCBI's taxonomy places the organism in Eukaryota, Metazoa, Chordata, Mammalia, Carnivora, Felidae. The record is from RefSeq and is a predicted model, not a curated record.